UACGAAGGGGGCUAGCGUUGCUCGGAAUCACUGGGCGUAAAGCGCACGUAGGCGGAUUGUUAAGUCAGGGGUGAAAUCCUGGAGCUCAACUCCAGAACUGCCUUUGAUACUGGCGAUCUUGAGUCCGGGAGAGGUUAGUGGAACUGCGAGUGUAGAGGUGAAAUUCGUAGAUAUUCGCAAGAACACCAGUGGCGAAGGCGGCUCACUGGCCCGGUACUGACGCUGAGGUGCGAAAGCGUGGGGAGCAAACAGG
Molecule: ribosomal RNA, 253 nt
Filed under: uncultured bacterium
Lineage: Bacteria
Description: partial 16S ribosomal RNA
Rfam family: Bacterial small subunit ribosomal RNA
Source: RNAcentral